This 460-nucleotide ribosomal RNA is filed under the name uncultured bacterium. RNAcentral's name for it is "partial 16S ribosomal RNA". It matches the Rfam family "Bacterial small subunit ribosomal RNA", at positions 338 to 795 of the family's 1533-position model. The record is from RNAcentral.
CCUACGGGUGGCAGCAGUGAGGAAUAUUGGUCAAUGGGCGGAAGCCUGAACCAGCCAAGUAGCGUGCAGGAUGACGGCCCUAUGGGUUGUAAACUGCUUUUAUACGGGAAUAACGCGCCUUACGUGUAGGGCUUUGCAUGUAUCGUAUGAAUAAGGACCGGCUAAUUCCGUGCCAGCAGCCGCGGUAAUACGGAAGGUUCAGGCGUUAUCCGGAUUUAUUGGGUUUAAAGGGUGCGUAGGCUGUACGUCAAGCUUGAUGUGAAAUGUCCGGGCUCAACCCGGGCAUUGCAUCGCAUACUGGCGUGCUUGAGUCCGCUGAAAGCAGGCGGAAUGCAUCGUGUAGCGGUGAAAUGCAUAGAGAUGACGAAGAACCCCGAUUGCGAAGGCAGCUUGCUACAGCAGGACUGACGCUGAUGCACGAAAGCGCGGGUAUCGAACAGGAUUAGAUACCCCUGUAGUC